AACUUAAACAAACGUGCAGACUGGUUAAACACACACACACACACACACACACACACACACACACACACACACACACACACUCUACCUGACCCAGGGAUAGUUCCAGUAUGAGGCAAUAUGCGGUUUUUUUGUUUUGUUUUAUUUUGUUUUUUUCCACACUCAGAAAGUAGGUACCAAUGCUUUGCUAUGAAGAGAAGUCAGGGGAACUGGUUGGAAAGGUCGAAAUUGA
Non-coding RNA from Cricetulus griseus (Chinese hamster), 229 nucleotides. Lineage: Eukaryota; Metazoa; Chordata; Mammalia; Rodentia; Cricetidae. The record is from Rfam.